This 324-nucleotide ribosomal RNA is filed under the name uncultured eukaryote. RNAcentral describes it as "partial 18S ribosomal RNA". It matches the Rfam family "Eukaryotic small subunit ribosomal RNA", at positions 1470 to 1796 of the family's 1831-position model. The record is from RNAcentral.
CCCUUAGAUGUUCUGGGCUGCACGCGCGCUACACUGAAGCUAUCAACACGUUUUCCUUCCCUGAGAAGGGCGGGUAACCUUUUGAAUCAGCUUCGUGGUAGGGAUCGGGGCUUGCAAUUGUUCCCCGUGAACCAGGAAUUCCUAGUAGACGCGAGUCAUAAGCUCGCAUCGAUUAAGUCCCUGCCCUUUGUACACACCGCCCGUCGCUACUACCGAUUGAACGUUUUAGUGAGGCAUUUGGACCGACGCAUCUCAGUUUAACCGCUGGUUUGUGUUGGAAAGACUUCCAAACUUGAGCGUUUAGAGGAAGUAAAAGUCGUAACA